Molecule: ribosomal RNA, 519 nt
Filed under: uncultured bacterium
Lineage: Bacteria
Description: bacterial SSU rRNA
Rfam family: Bacterial small subunit ribosomal RNA
Source: RNAcentral
AGAGUUUGAUUAUGGCUCAGAACGAACGCUGGCGGCGCGUUUAAGCAUGCAAGUCGAGCGGCAAGGGCCUUCGGGCCCCUAGAGCGGCGGACGGGUGAGUAACACGUGGACAAUCUGCCCCCGGCCCGGGAUAGCCCAGGGAAACCUGGAUUAAUACCGGAUGAGACGGGACCCGCGAUGGCGGGACCCGGGAAAGGCGCUGCGGCGCCGCCGGGGGAUGAGUCUGCGUCCCAUUAGCUAGACGGCGGGGUAACGGCCCACCGUGGCGACGAUGGGUAGCCGGCCUGAGAGGGUGGACGGCCACAUUGGAACUGAGACACGGUCCAGACUCCUACGGGAGGCAGCAGCUAAGAAUCUUCCGCAAUGGGCGAAAGCCUGACGGAGCGACGCCCGCGUGAACGAAGAAGGCCGUGAGGUUGUAAAGUUCUUUUCGGGAGGGGGAACAACCGUGGCAGGGAAUGGCCGCGGGAUGACGUGAAUCCCGGAAUAAGCCCCGGCUAACUACGUGCCAGCCGCAGC